CAUUGCUCAGUUGGUAAAGCACGAGGCUCUUAACCUUGUGGAUGUGGGUUCAAGCCCUGCGAUGA
This is a non-coding RNA of Triticum aestivum (bread wheat), 65 nucleotides long. Lineage: Eukaryota; Viridiplantae; Streptophyta; Magnoliopsida; Poales; Poaceae. The record is from Rfam.